AUCAACUUUCGAUGGUAGGAUAGAGGCCUACCAUGGUGGUAACGGGUAACGGGGUGUUAGGGCACGACACCGGAGAGGGAGCCUGAGAAAAGGCUACCACAUCCAAGGAUGGCAGCAGGCGCGCAAAUUACCCAAUCCCGACACGGGGAGGUAGUGACAAUAAAUAACAAUACGGGGUUCUUUCGGAUUUCGUAAUUGGAAUGAGUACAAUUUAAAUCUCUUAACGAGGAACAAUUGGAGGGCAAGUCUGGUGCCAGCAGCCGCGGUAAUUCCAGCUCCAAUAGCGUAUAUUAAAGUUGCUGCAGUUAAAAAGCUCGUAGUUGAAUUUCGGGACCAUCAUGUCGGUCGUGCCUCGGUACGUACUGGCAUUGUUGGUUUCUCCCUUCUGACGAACCAUGAUGUCAUUUAUUUGGUGUUGUGGGGAAUCAGGACUGUUACUUUGAAAAAAUUAGAGUGUUUAAAGCAGGCUCACGCUUGAAUACAUUAGCAUGGAAUAAUGAAAUAGGACGUUUGAUUCUAUUUUGUUGGUUUCUAGGAUCGACGUAAUGAUUAAUAGGGAUAGUUGGGGGCAUUAGUAUUCAAUUGUCAGAGGUGAAAUUCUUGGAUUUAUUGAAGACUAACUACUGCGAAAGCAUUUGCCAAGGAUGUUUUCAUUAAUCAAGAACGAAAGUUAGGGGAUCGAAGACGAUCAGAUACCGUCGUAGUCUUAACCAUAAACUAUGCCGACUAGGGAU
RNAcentral lists this small RNA (734 nucleotides) under uncultured fungus. RNAcentral's name for it is "SSU rRNA". It matches the Rfam family "Eukaryotic small subunit ribosomal RNA", at positions 314 to 1053 of the family's 1831-position model. Lineage: Eukaryota; Fungi. The record is from RNAcentral.